GCCCAUUUUAAACUUUAAACUUGUCUUCCAGCCAUACCAUCCACAUUGACUUCCUGGUUCUGUGAGGCAGGGGUGCUUCGAAAUAAGAGCCUCAGCUGCUUUAGCUACUUCUUUGUCACUGGGGCCAUAUUUCCACCAUUGAGGCUGUGCUCGACAUCAUAAGAAAAUUGAGGAACUGGGAAGACAUCAGGCCAACUCUGCAAGCGUUCUGGGGCAUAAGGGAGUAUUUCUGUGUCUGAAGUUGAAGCUGACCCGGCAUCAGUCUCAGAUCUGUGUACUUUCAAUACAGCCUUCUCUGGCAGUUCUGAAAUGUCUGUUAGAAAGCAGAGUUGCCCCCCAAAGUCUGGGUCUUCAUAUUGGAGGUUGAAAUCAAAAUCAAGACGAGGUCUGAAUUUCUCUUUAAUCACUGUAAUCAACUCUUCUACUGUACUUGGGCGUGUAGAAAGGGUCAUCUUGUGGGCGAUGUCAGGAGCAAUGUAAACUCUAAGUAAAAGUUUCUGGGAUUCCGCCAUCUAGUAGACAAAAACAACAAGGUAAAUGACAAGUUAAAAAUAUAGUUUCGAACAAGAUGGACUGGACAUGGAUUUCCAAAUAAUGUAGAAAUCUUACCUUAUUGUAAAGGUAGAAAUCGCUUUGGCGUCAACAGCAACUUGCCCUCUAUACAGUAGGCAGAAAGGGGGGAUGUAUCACUCAAAUCUGUUAUUUUUUUAACAGAUAUAUCACCUAAACACAGAUUAAAGGCUCUUAGGUGUUCAAUAUAAUGGGACUUGUGCUCCCUGCAUAGGAAGGCCACAUGAUCGUUCACAAGGACGAUUGACUCAGUUUUACAAAACUGAGGUAACCCUGCUUCAAAACCAGCAGGAAAAUAUUCCCCAGUAGAAAUAUUUGUCCCAUCAAUGGUGAUUUGAGAUGCACAGUAUAUAGUGUUACUAUCAGUCUUCUGUUUAAUAUACUGUAUUGCCACUUCAGGUAGUGUUGAAACUAAAACAGAUGUCACAGUUGAUGCCUGCAAAUGUGGUUUGAAGAACGCUGGCGCACUUAGAUGGUAAGCCAUCAUAUGCUGGUGUCUGCUUGCCAGUGUCUUCAGCACAUUUUUAAAGUUCUGUGUAUCGUGCACAACCCGUUUGAAGAAGCGGUGUUUGCCUUCAAAACGCAUGGUCCAUAAAUGUACAAGAGGUCCAAAACAUCUGAUCAGCUCUGGAUAAUGUUCGACGUAGUGAUGCUUUGGCCUAAUCUUAAAAUCUGGAAAUACUUCAAGAAGAAUUUGCCUGUGGUCCCUAAUUUUACUCUGUAAAUACUGAAUCAUCUCUUCAGUAAAUGUUGGAGACAGCACUAACUCCACAAUGUCUUUCAAUUCCAUUAACACUGCCCAUGCACUAUCUCCCUCUGGUACAACACUGCCAACCAUGAAUGGAAGUAGCCGAAGUAAUGCAGCAUUUUCAUGACCAUUACCACCUAUUGUCAUUUUUGUGGUAUAAGUUUUGGAAAUUGGCUUGGGUCUAUCAACCUUAUCUGUAUGCUGAUAUGGGAAUGAUUCAAUUUUACUGUUCAAAUAAUCAAGUGUGAAGUGUUUCAGACGAAUCAUUUUUUGAAUGCAUAAAGCCAACUCUACUGGCACAAUACCUUCAAGGAGGUCAUGGAGAAUAUCAGGGGGGAAACCAGUGAUUGGAUGAAAAUACUGCAGCUUUUGUUUUAAGACACAGUCCCCUUUCACACCACAAUUACUUUCCCCAUUUCUACUGGAGACAUUCUGGACAUGCAGAUCAUGAGUUACCUUAGUUCUCAGACUGAAUUCACCCUCAGCAACUUCAUGCGAUUGAAACUGGUCUAGAGUUGCCAGACAGAAUCUGCACACAUACUCUGAACGGAAUGACUGUACAAAGCCUGCCAAUCCGUGAGCUGCAAGAUUAUCUGCUGCAACAAAAAGAACAGUGCCUUUAACAGAUUGACCAAGAGAUUCAAUGAACACACCAUCUUGUUCUAAUGUACGUAAGUCUUGCAUUAAAGGGCCAAGCACACUCUCAUAGCCACAUUUCUGGACAUCAGGAACUUUACACAGCAAAGCUAGCUGUAUCACAUGCAAAGCUGAUCGGUAUUUGCUAGGUAGAUCAGCAAGUACCCAGUACACUGAACAGAGUUUGUGUAUUUUCCUCGAAGUACCUAAUGGAUUUGCAACUUCUAUCUCAUCUAUGUAAAUCAGCAAUGGCAAUUUAAACUCCUCUGAUGCUGAUAACAGCUCAUUUUCUUGAAAAUACAAACCAUCUCGAUGAUUUGUGUAUUGA
This is a long non-coding RNA of Cyprinus carpio (common carp), 2282 nucleotides long. RefSeq lists it as uncharacterized. The record is from RefSeq and is a predicted model, not a curated record. NCBI's taxonomy places the organism in Eukaryota, Metazoa, Chordata, Actinopteri, Cypriniformes, Cyprinidae.